CUGGUUGAUCCUGCCAGUAGUGAUAUGCUUGUUUCAAAGAUUAAGCCAUGCAUGUCUAAGUAUAAGCGAACUUAUACAGUGAAACUGCGGAUGGCUCAUUAAAACAGUUUGAAUUUAUUUGAUGAAUGUAUGAGAAUACUACUUGGAUAACCGUAGUAAUUCUAGAGCUAAUACAUGCAACGACGCCCGACCGUUUCACUACGGAAGGGCUGUAUUUAUUGGAUACCAAAACCAUCCUUCCCUCGGGAAGUUUUGUUUGAUGAUUCGCAAUAACUGAUCGGAUUGCCACUGUGGUGGCGACAGGUCAUUCAACAUUCUGCCCUAUCAGCUUUCGAUGGUUGUGUAGUGGACAACCAUGGCCAUAACGGGUAACGGAGAAUCAGGGUUCGAUUCCGGAGAAGGAGCUUGAGAAUUGGCUACUACAUCUAAGGAAGGCAGCAAGCGCGCAAAUUACCCAAUCCCGAUUCGGGGAGGUAGUGACAAAAAAUAACAAUACCGGGCCUUUUUGGGCUUGGUAAUUGGAAUGAGGGAGAGUUAAACGGACCAUCGAGUAUCCAUUGGAGGGCAAGUCUGGUGCCAGCAGCUGCGGUAAUACCAGCUCCAAUAGCGUAUAUUAAAGUUGUUGCAGUUAAAAAGCUCGUAGUUGGACUUGUGUGCGCUGUCCGCGGGUGGCCUGCGCCCAAAAGGGCAUUUCGGUUCGGCCCCGGUGGCGCCUUGAAAUCUGCAGCUGGGGGGACGUUGGCCUUAACUGGUCGGCGACCGCACGCCGGCUGCUCGGUUACUGUGAGAAAAUUAGAGUGUUCAAGGCAGGCAUUGGGUGCAAUUGAAUACAUUAGCAUGGAAUAAUAAAAUAUGGCUCCUGCCGUAUUUUGUUGGUUUUGACUGGUGGGAGUAAUGAUUGAUAGGGACGGUUGGGGGUGCUAGUAUUGAGCGGCCAGAGGUGAAAUUCAUGGAUUCGCUCAAGACUAACUUAUGCGAAAGCAUUCACCAAGGACGUCCUCUUUAAUCAAGAACGAAAGUUGGGGGAUCGAAGACGAUCAGAUACCGUCGUAGUCUCAACCAUAAACUAUGUCGACUUGGGAUCGGCGGUAGUUUUUUCAUUAAGACACUGUCGGGACCACGGGAGAAAUCAAAGUGUCUGGACUCUGGGGGAAGUAUGGUCGCAAGGCUGAAACUUGAAGGAAUUGACGGAAGGGCACCACCAGGAGUGGAGCCUGCGGCUUAAUUUGACCCAACACGGGGAAACUUACCAGGUCCAGAGAUGUAGAGGAUUGACAGAUUGAAGCUCUUUCUUGAUCACUUCGGUGGUGGUGCAUGGCCGUUCUUAGUUGGUGGAGUGAUUUGUCUGGUUAAUUCCGUUAACGAACGAGACCUCAGCCUGCUAGUGUA
Molecule: ribosomal RNA, 1389 nt
Filed under: metagenome
Description: SSU rRNA
Rfam family: Eukaryotic small subunit ribosomal RNA
Source: RNAcentral